GCGGAGCUGAAAUCAGUCGAAGAUACCAGCUGGCUGCAACUGUUUAUUAAAAACACAGCACUGUGCAAACACGAAAGUGGACGUAUACGGUGUGACGCCUGCCCGGUGCCGGAAGGUUAAUUGAUGGGGUUAGCGGCAACGCGAAGCUCUUGAUCGAAGCCCCGGUAAACGGCGGCCGUAACUAUAACGGUCCUAAGGUAGCGAAAUUCCUUGUCGGGUAAGUUCCGACCUGCACGAAUGGCGUAAUGAUGGCCAGGCUGUCUCCACCCGAGACUCAGUGAAAUUGAACUCGCUGUGAAGAUGCAGUGUACCCGCGGCAAGACGGAAAGACCCCGUGAACCUUUACUAUAGCUUGACACUGAACACUGGUCCUUGAUGUGUAGGAUAGGUGGGAGGCUUUGAAGCGUGGACGCCAGUCUGCGUGGAGCCGUCCUUGAAAUACCACCCUUUAAUGGCUGGUGUUCUAACGUGGACCCGUGAUCCGGGUUGCGGACAGUGUCUGGUGGGUAGUUUGACUGGGGCGGUCUCCUCCCAAAGAGUAACGGAGGAGCACGAAGGUUAGCUAAUCCUGGUCGGACAUCAGGAGGUUAGUGCAAUGGCAUAAGCUAGCUUGACUGCGAGAGUGACGGCUCGAGCAGGUGCGAAAGCAGGUCAUAGUGAUCCGGUGGUUCUGAAUGGAAGGGCCAUCGCUCAACGGAUAAAAGGUACUCCGGGGAUAACAGGCUGAUACCGCCCAAGAGUUCAUAUCGACGGCGGUGUUUGGCACCUCGAUGUCGGCUCAUCACAUCCUGGGGCUGAAGUAGGUCCCAAGGGUAUGGCUGUUCGCCAUUUAAAGUGGUACGCGAGCUGGGUUUAGAACGUCGUGAGACAGUUCGGUCCCUAUCUGCCGUGGGCGCUGGAGAAUUGAGGGGGGCUGCUCCUAGUACGAGAGGACCGGAGUGGACGCAUCACUGGUGUUCGGGUUGUCAUGCCAAUGGCACUGCCCGGUAGCUAAAUGCGGAAGAGAUAAGUGCUGAAAGCAUCUAAGCACGAAACUUGCCCCGAGAUGAGUUCUCCCUGAGACUUUAAGUCUCCUGAAGGAACGUUGAAGACGACGACGUUGAUAGGCCGGGUGUGUAAGCGCAGCGAUGCGUUGAGCUAACCGGUACUAAUGAACCGUGAGGCUUAACCUU
RNAcentral lists this ribosomal RNA (1172 nucleotides) under Enterobacter cloacae complex sp. P44RS. RNAcentral describes it as "partial 23S ribosomal RNA". It matches the Rfam family "Bacterial large subunit ribosomal RNA", at positions 1745 to 2925 of the family's 2925-position model. The record is from RNAcentral. Lineage: Bacteria; Pseudomonadati; Pseudomonadota; Gammaproteobacteria; Enterobacterales; Enterobacteriaceae.